RNAcentral lists this ribosomal RNA (495 nucleotides) under uncultured bacterium. Its description in RNAcentral is "partial 16S ribosomal RNA". It matches the Rfam family "Bacterial small subunit ribosomal RNA", at positions 28 to 507 of the family's 1533-position model. The record is from RNAcentral.
GACGAACGCUGGCGGCGUGCCUAAUACAUGCAAGUAGAACGCUGAAGGAGGAGCUUGCUCUUCUGGAUGAGUUGCGAACGGGUGAGUAACGCGUAGGUAACCUGCCUGGUAGCGGGGGAUAACUAUUGGAAACGAUAGCUAAUACCGCAUAAGAGUAGAUGUUGCAUGACAUUUACUUAAAAGGUGCAAUUGCAUCACUACCAGAUGGACCUGCGUUGUAUUAGCUAGUUGGUGGGGUAACGGCUUACCAAGGCGACGAUACAUAGCCGACCUGAGAGGGUGAUCGGCCACACUGGGACUGAGACACGGCCCAGACUCCUACGGGAGACAGCAGUAGGGAAUCUUCGGCAAUGGACGGAAGUCUGACCGAGCAACGCCGCGUGAGUGAAGAAGGUUUUCGGAUCGUAAAGCUCUGUUGUAAGAGAAGAACGAGUGUGAGAGUGGAAAGUUCACACUGUGACGUUAUCUUACCAGAAAGGGACGGCUAACUACGUG